RNAcentral lists this ribosomal RNA (274 nucleotides) under uncultured bacterium. RNAcentral describes it as "partial 16S ribosomal RNA". It matches the Rfam family "Bacterial small subunit ribosomal RNA", at positions 523 to 796 of the family's 1533-position model. The record is from RNAcentral.
AUACGGAGGGUACGAACGUUAAUCGGAAUUACUGGGCGUAAAGCGCGCGUAGGCGGUUCGAUAAGUCUGAUGUGAAAGCCCUGGGCUCAACCUGGGAACUGCAUUCGAUACUGCCAGGCUAGAGUAUGGUAGAGGGAAGCGGAAUUUCCGGUGUAGCGGUGAAAUGCGUAGAUAUCGGAAGGAACACCAGUGGCGAAGGCGGCUUCCUGGACCAAUACUGACGCUGAGGUGCGAAAGCGUGGGGAGCAAACAGGAUUAGAAACCCUAGUAGUCC